AAGGAAUAUUGGUCAAUGGGCGCAAGCCUGAACCAGCCAUGCCGCGUGCAGGAAGACGGCCCUAUGGGUUGUAAACUGCUUUUGUCAGGGAAUAAACCUGUUUACGAGUAGACAGCUGAAGGUACCUGAAGAAUAAGCAUCGGCUAACUCCGUGCCAGCAGCCGCGGUAAUACGGAGGAUGCAAGCGUUAUCCGGAUUCAUUGGGUUUAAAGGGUGCGCAGGCGGAUUAUUAAGUCAGGGGUGAAAUCCCACGGCUCAACCGUGGAACUGCCUUUGAUACUGAUAGUCUAGAGUAUAGUUGAAGUUGGCGGAAUGUGUCAUGUAGCGGUGAAAUGCUUAGAUAUGACACAGAACACCGAUCGCGAAGGCAGCUAGCUAAGCUAUAACUGACGCUCAUGCACGAAAGCGUGGGGAUCAAAC
This 420-nucleotide ribosomal RNA is filed under the name uncultured bacterium. Its description in RNAcentral is "bacterial SSU rRNA". It matches the Rfam family "Bacterial small subunit ribosomal RNA", at positions 356 to 773 of the family's 1533-position model. The record is from RNAcentral.